RNAcentral lists this ribosomal RNA (253 nucleotides) under uncultured bacterium. RNAcentral describes it as "partial 16S ribosomal RNA". It matches the Rfam family "Bacterial small subunit ribosomal RNA", at positions 524 to 776 of the family's 1533-position model. The record is from RNAcentral.
UACGGAGGAUGCAAGCGUUGUCCGGAUUUACUGGGUUUAAAGGGUGCGUAGGCGGGCAUGUAAGUCAGUGGUGAAAUACCGGAGCUUAGCUUCGGAACUGCCAUUGAUACUAUAUGUCUUGAAUAUUGUGGAGGUAAGCGGAAUAUGUCAUGUAGCGGUGAAAUGCAUAGAUAUGACAUAGAACACCGAUUGCGGAGGCAGCUUGCUACACAAAUAUUGACGCUGAGGCACGAAAGCGUGGGGAUCAAACAGG